UUUUGGACAAUGGGGGAAACCCGGAUCCAGCCAUCCCGCGUGUAUGAUGAAGGCCUUCGGGUUGUAAAGUACUUUUUGCAGAGAAGAAAAGGUAUCACCUAAUACGGGAUACUGAUGACGGUAUCUGCAGAAUAAGAAGCGGCUAACAACGUUCCAGCAGCCGCGGUAAUACUGAGGGUGCAAGCGUUAAUCGGAAUUACUGGGCGUAAAGCGUGUGUAGGCGGUUCGGAAAGAAAGAUGUGAAAUCCCAGGGCUCAACCUUGGAACUGCAUUUUUAACUGCCGAGCUAGAGUAUGUCAGAGGGGGGUAGAAUUCCACGUGUAGCAGUGAAAUACGUAGAUAUGUGGAGGAAUACCGAUGGCGAAGGCAGCACCCUGGGAUAAUACUGACGCUCAGACACGAAAGCGUGGGGAGCAAACAGG
This 422-nucleotide ribosomal RNA is filed under the name uncultured bacterium. RNAcentral's name for it is "partial 16S ribosomal RNA". It matches the Rfam family "Bacterial small subunit ribosomal RNA", at positions 362 to 776 of the family's 1533-position model. The record is from RNAcentral.